This 444-nucleotide long non-coding RNA is filed under the name Mustela putorius furo (domestic ferret). RNAcentral's name for it is "lncRNA (ENSMPUG00000030675.1)". Lineage: Eukaryota; Metazoa; Chordata; Mammalia; Carnivora; Mustelidae. The record is from RNAcentral.
AUAGAGAAACAAAGUGAGUUUUAGGGGUGGCGUUCUCAGGGAGAGCAGAAUGAGAUUCUGUUUGACUCUGAAGCUUAUCUUAUUAACCCCUCUCUUCCAGGAAUUUUAACAGCUCACAUCUCUCGAAUACUCACACGCCAGUCACUCUUGAGGUGCUUCGUGAGAACUUCCACAGCAUCUCUGUAUGGGGGAAGAAGCAGAAGGAGAGAGAGAGAGAGACUCUCAAGCAAACUCCAUGCAGAGCUGAGAUCAUGGCCUGAGCCAAAAUCCAGAGUCUGAUACUUAACUGACUGAGCCACCCAGGCUGCCACCCCAAGAUAAGUACGGCCAUGUGACUAACUGAGGACGUAUGUAGGGUUUUGGGAACAUCUCCUUAAAAGGUAACAGACACAUGCUUCUUUCCUCCUAUCCUUCCUGUGGCUGCCUGGAAUAUGGAUGUAAUGG